CGACAAUUCCCAUACCCCUGAAGUUACAGUGGGUUAGAACAGAGUUACUUGAAAAAAAAAGAAGCACUAAAGAGGUUAAGAUUCUACAAGACCAGACAAGUUUGACCCUUUUUAAAGUCUUCGCUUCAUUCUCGUUACACAACAAUGAGAAAAGAGGGGCAUCUGUAAAUGCCCAAAUUUGCCUGGGCCCAAAAAAAAUAAACCAAGAAAUAGAAUAAAAAAUAUUAAGUCCAAAAAAUUUACAACCCCAAAAGAACAAUUAUUACAAACCCAAAAUACAAAACCCUAGCCCAAAAGUUACAAGCCCAUAACCUAAACUAAUUCAGAAACCCUAAGUUCCCCAUGUACGCCGCAC
Molecule: long non-coding RNA, 355 nt
Filed under: Gossypium raimondii (Peruvian cotton)
Lineage: Eukaryota; Viridiplantae; Streptophyta; Magnoliopsida; Malvales; Malvaceae
Description: long non-coding RNA (GRAI_LNC000433)
Source: RNAcentral